Sebastes umbrosus (honeycomb rockfish) is the source of this 718-nucleotide long non-coding RNA. RefSeq lists it as uncharacterized. NCBI's taxonomy places the organism in Eukaryota, Metazoa, Chordata, Actinopteri, Perciformes, Sebastidae. The record is from RefSeq and is a predicted model, not a curated record. The transcript is spliced from 2 exons.
GCUCUGAGUGCAAGGACUGACAGCCCCUGACAUUCAUAUAGCAAUUACAAACUUUUAGUAAAUGUUUUGAUUUGAUUUAAUGACAAAAUCAUAAGAAUAAUAAUGGACUUAAACAGUCUUCUAUUUUGGGAUAUGGUUGAGAGAUGUAACAAGGCUGUUAUACUGGUAAAGAAAUCAAACACAGAUUCUCUGUAGGUGCCAGCACCUGUAGUGUCAUGUUAUCACCUGGGCAGUCUAGUAGUUUCCCUGUGUUUCCUCUGUUUCCCUGUCCUUUUGUCUCCUGUGUGUUUUACCCUGUCAGCCUGGUCUGUCGGUAAGGAGGUGUGGCCAUCUCCUCCUCCCUCUCCUGGGCGGUCGUUGCUGGAGCAGCUGACACCAAUCAUCAAUCAAGACACACUCUGCAGUAUAUCAACCCUGGUCUUCUAUUCCUGCCAUUCAUCGCAAGAUCGUUAUCGUCGCCACAGUGUGUGGUAUACUUACCUGCCAGCUGCCUCCACUUCCUGCGAUACCUACCUGCUCACUCUCCAACAUCAUUGCUUCUCCUCCGAUCACAGUAGACUGGAAACACCAUCUGGAGGAACACUGGAACCCCAUUCCCCAUGCUCCCUUGAAGACUUUCAGUCUUUAAUCCCAGCCACGUUGGACUCUGAGAAACCUUGCCCUGUCCACCAUUUAAAUUUAUUAUUUAUUAAUAAAUUCUCAUUGUUACAACUUUAAA